AUUGAACGCUGGCGGCAGGCCUAACACAUGCAAGUCGAGCGGUAGAGAGAAGCUUGCUUCUCUUGAGAGCGGCGGACGGGUGAGUAAUGCCUAGGAAUCUGCCUGGUAGUGGGGGAUAACGUUCGGAAACGGACGCUAAUACCGCAUACGUCCUACGGGAGAAAGCAGGGGACCUUCGGGCCUUGCGCUAUCAGAUGAGCCUAGGUCGGAUUAGCUAGUUGGUGAGGUAAUGGCUCACCAAGGCGACGAUCCGUAACUGGUCUGAGAGGAUGAUCAGUCACACUGGAACUGAGACACGGUCCAGACUCCUACGGGAGGCAGCAGUGGGGAAUAUUGGACAAUGGGCGAAAGCCUGAUCCAGCCAUGCCGCGUGUGUGAAGAAGGUCUUCGGAUUGUAAAGCACUUUAAGUUGGGAGGAAGGGCAGUAAAUUAAUACUUUGCUGUUUUGACGUUACCGACAGAAUAAGCACCGGCUAACUCU
RNAcentral lists this ribosomal RNA (481 nucleotides) under uncultured Pseudomonas sp. RNAcentral's name for it is "bacterial SSU rRNA". It matches the Rfam family "Bacterial small subunit ribosomal RNA", at positions 30 to 504 of the family's 1533-position model. Lineage: Bacteria; Pseudomonadati; Pseudomonadota; Gammaproteobacteria; Pseudomonadales; Pseudomonadaceae. The record is from RNAcentral.